UGCAAUCUACCUUUCACAGAGGGAUAGCCCAGAGAAAUUUGGAUUAAUACCUCAUAGUAUUAUUGAGUGGCAUCACUUAAUAAUUAAAGUCACAACGGUGAAAGAUGAGCAUGCGUCCCAUUAGCUAGUUGGUAAGGUAACGGCUUACCAAGGCAACGAUGGGUAGGGGUCCUGAGAGGGAGAUCC
Molecule: ribosomal RNA, 186 nt
Filed under: uncultured Bacteroidota bacterium
Lineage: Bacteria; Pseudomonadati; Bacteroidota
Description: uncultured Bacteroidetes bacterium partial 16S ribosomal RNA
Rfam family: Bacterial small subunit ribosomal RNA
Source: RNAcentral